RNAcentral lists this ribosomal RNA (325 nucleotides) under uncultured eukaryote. RNAcentral describes it as "partial 18S ribosomal RNA". It matches the Rfam family "Eukaryotic small subunit ribosomal RNA", at positions 1470 to 1796 of the family's 1831-position model. The record is from RNAcentral.
CCCUUAGAUGUUCUGGGCCGCACGCGCGCUACACUGAUGCAUUCAACAAGCCUAGCCUUGACCGAGAGGUCCGGGUAAUCUUUGAAACUGCAUCGUGAUGGGGCUAGAUUAUUGCAAAUAUUAAUCUUGAACGAGGAAUUCCUAGUAAGCGCAAGUCAACAGCUUGCGUUGAUUACGUCCCUGCCCUUUGUACACACCGCCCGUCGCUACUACUGAUUGGAUGUUUAAGCGAGGUUCUCGAACUGCUAGCGACUUAGCUUCGGUGAGGUCGCAGUGUGGGAAGUGAACCUAGCUUUGGUGUCUAGAGGAAGUAAAAGUCGUAACA